Molecule: long non-coding RNA, 8596 nt
Filed under: Homo sapiens (human)
Lineage: Eukaryota; Metazoa; Chordata; Mammalia; Primates; Hominidae
Description: non-protein coding lnc-RPS25-1:25
Source: RNAcentral
AGAGCUGGGCGGGUUAAGGAGGAGGAUGGCGCCGUCCUGCAGAUGUGCGGGGACGCGCGCCCGCCGCAACGUGAGGCUCAUAGGCCACACGCAACUCUGAGCAUUGGCCAGGACCUGUAGUAGCCAACAGGACACUUAAUAACUGAUGUAUAGGUGCGCACUGUGUGUCCAGAGCUUUACGUUAACCACCUCACUGUGUCAUCUCGCUGAGGUUGUGUGGUUUACUAUUACUGCUAUUAGCGCAUUUUUAAGCGGGAAACCUGAGGCAUGAGGAGGUAAGGAGCUUUGAGGAGGGUUGCACGGGUGUUAAGUAGCGCGGUCAGCACCUGAUCCCCGUCACUCAUCAGUACGGCGGUUGGAGGGGAAUGCCUGCUGGAGGGGACCACGAACUAAACUCAAUCGCCCCCACAGGGUGUGCUCGCCGUGGUUCCUAUAAAGCUGUAAGGGAGGCUACACAGCGUGCAGCGUUGUUGCUGAGGGAUCGCACACUUCCCGUAGAUUUUGUUGCUAGUUCUGGUGCACUAACGUGGAUGGACUGCUUGCUGUCUGUAGGGCCUGCCCACGGUCAGCGCUACAGAAUUCAGGCCCGGCGUAGCUACUUCCAACCCUUCAGAUCUUCACUUCCUGUUGGAACUGUCCUCUAGACUGUAGCCUCUGCCAGAAAUAAUUCAUUUUGAAUACCCUUGUAACACCCAAUUCCUUGAUCUCCUAUCAUUCCCCUGGCAGGGUCAGUCCUCGACCUUGUCCCCCCAAAUUGCUUCGUCUCUGAAUCCAGACUCUGAAGUUCGGCUCUGCCUACCACCUUAAGUUAUCCGAUGUGGCCUUACCGUCAGCCUAGUCUUUGACUACAGGAAGACCUCUCUUCCUGAAGAAGACGCCUCUUUUCAUCCAUUCACUCUGGAAAUGAUUCAACGUCUGCCUGCUGCUGAUGCUUUACUCUCCACCAGGGGUUUUCGAAGUGUGCUUCCCCAUUCCCCCUGGGCCUAUAGCAUCAGCAUCAGGGAACUUGUCAGUAACGCACAUUCUUGGGCCCCAACCCAGAACUACUGAAUCAGAAACUUGGGGUGAGGGCCUGUCGUGGUGGCUCAUGCCUGUAAUCCCAACACUUUGGGAAGCAGAGGAGGGUGGAUCACCUGAGGUCAGGAGUUGAGGACCAGCCUGGCUAACAUGGUGAAACCCCGUCUCUACUAAAAAUAGAAAAAUUAGCCAGAUGUGGUGGCGUGUGCCCAUAAUCCUAGCUACUCGGGAGACUGAGGCAGGAGACUCGCUUGAACCCAAGAGGCGGAGGUUGCAGUGAGCCAAGAUUGCACCACUGCACUCUAGCCUGGGCGACAGAGUGAGACUCCGUCUCAAAAAAAAAAAAAGAACUCAGGGUGAGGCCCAGCCGGCUGUGGUUUUAUGAGCUUUUCAGGGGAUACUGAUGCGGGAUCAAAUUUGAGAAGCACUGGUCUAGGUCUUAGAUCCUCUUGCUUCAGUUUCGUCAUUGGAUCUCAGGAAUGUUCAGCUGCCCUCUCAAGGCAACUUCUUACUUCACUUGACCUUCCAAGACCUCUCGUUCUGUCAAACCCCAAUUUUGGAUCAACCCAGGCAUGCUUCCCUCAUGUGUUCCAAAGCUGGUCAGAGUAGUCUACACCACUAUCUGCUUCAACUUCUAGUAACGUCUAAGCCUUCAGCAGUUUUGCUUAUGAAACUGCUUCACUGAAGUUCUCCACCACCAAGUAGUCAGCUGGCAUCGGAAUUCGGCUUGUGUCAAAUGGAACUCAACAUCUUCCUCUUCAGGACAUCCCCUAUUUUCAUCCUCCCAGUGAAUGACACCACCAAGUUAAAGCCUGGAGGCUGGGUGUAGUGGUUCAUGCCUGUAAUCCCAGUAGUUUAGGAAACCGAGGUGGGCAGAUGGCUUGCGCCCAGGUGUUUGAGAGCAGCCUGGCCAACAUGGCGAAACCCUGUCUCUACAAAAAAGUACUGCCAGGCGCGGUGGCUUACGCCUGUAAUCCCAGCACUUUGGGAGGCUAAGCAGGCAGAUCACCUCAGGUCAGGAGUUCAAGACCAGGCUGGGCCAACAUGGCAAAACCCCAUCUCUACUAAAAAUACAAAAAUUAGCCUGGUGUGGUGGCAUGUGUCUAGUCCCAGCUACUCGAGAGGCUGAGGCAGGGGAACUGCUUGAACCCAGGAGGCGGGGGUUGCACUGAACCUGUUGCGCCACUGCAUUCCAGCCUGGGUGGCAGAGCAAGACUCUUAUCUCAAAAACAACCAAACACAAAACAAAAAUUAGCUGGGUCUGGUGACAUGUGCUUAUAGUCCCAGCUACUUGGGGGGCUGAGGCAGGAGGAUUGCUUGAGCCUGGGAGGUUGAGGCUGCAGCAAUGAGCUGUGUUUGUGCCACUGCACUCUAGCCUGGACAACAAAAUGAGACCUUGUCUCAAAAAGAAAAAAAAAAAGCAGGGUGCAGUGGCUGACGCCUGUAAUCCCAGCACUUUGGGAGGCCGAGGCGGGCGGAUCAGAAGGUCAGGAGAUCGAGACCAUCCUGGCUAACAAGGUGAAACCCUAUCUUUACUAAAAAUACAAAAACUUAGUCGGGUGUGGUGGCACGCACCUGUAGUACCAACUACUCAGGAGGCUUAGGCUGGAGAAUCGCUUGAACCCAGGAGGUGGAGGUUGCAGUGAGCCGAGAUUGCGCCACUGCACUCCAGCCUGCCAGCCUGGGCAACAGAGCGAGAUUCUGUCUCAAAAAACAAAAACAAAAAAACCCAGAAUAACUCACCCCAAACUUCCAGGUUUUUUUUUUUUUUGAGACGGAGUCUUGCUGUCGCCCAGGCUGGAGUGCAGUGGUUAGAUCUCAGCUCACUGCAACCUCCGCUUCCUGGGUUCAAGUGAUUCUUCUGUCUCAGCCUCCUGAGUAGCUGGGAUUACAGGUGUGCGCCACCAUGCCUGGCUAAAUUUUGUAUUUUUAGUAGAGAUAGGGUUUCACCAUGUUGGUCAGGCUGGUCUCAAACUCCUGACCUCAGGUGAUCCACCCGCCUCGGCCUCCCAAAGUGCCAGGAUUACAGGCGUAAAACUCCCAUGCUGGGCUGGUCAAAGUGCUGGGAUUACAGGCAUAAGACAACGCACCUGGAACUUGGCUUGUGUCAAAUGGAACUCAACAUCUUCCCUUUUACUAAACCCCACCCAACAUUCACUGCGCACAAGUUGUCUUAUUCACUGGACUUCUAAUAUGUUUAAGGGGUCUGUCCCCAUUUAUUUUUUGAAACGGGGUCUUUCUGUGUUGCCCAGGCUGGAGUGCAGUGGUUGUUCACAGGUGCCAACCUACUAUUGAUCAGCAUGGGAGCUUUGGGGUUUUAAAACAAAUUUUUUAAGCCAGUCAUAUUUAGCAGUGGGGGGUUGUAUACCAACUUUAGUGACACUAAUGUUAUUAAAUUCUAAUAACCCACUACCAUCAGACCAGCCCAGCUUGGGAGUUUUGACCUGCUCCAUUUCCGACCUGGGCUGUUUCACCCCUCCAUAGACAACCUGGAUAGUCCCCUGUCCUGGGAGGUCACCAUGUUGAAGCUGAACUUAGUGUGGACACCCAAACUGCAUAAUGCAUUACAGUCUAGAACUCCUGGGCUCAAGGGAUCCUCCCACCUCAGCCUCCUGAGUAGCUAGGACCACAGGGUGCACCACCGCGCCCAGCUGUCUUCCUUUUUUUUUCUGAGACCGAGCCUCACUCAGCUGUCCAAGCUAGAGUGCAGUGGUGUGAUCUCCAUUCACUGCAACCACUGUCUCCCUGGUUCAAGCGAUUCUCCUGUCUCAGCCUCCUGAGUAGCUGGGAUUACAGGAACCUACCAUCAUGCCCGGCUAAUUUUUGUAUUUUAGUAGAGAUGGGGUUUUACUAUGUUGGCCAAGCUAGUCUUGAACUCCCGACCUCAGGUGAUCUGCCCACCUUGGCCUCCCAAAGUGCUAGGAUUAUAGGCAUGAGCCACCACGCCCAGCCCCCUACCCUUAAAAAAAUUAUAUAUAUAUAUAAUAGAGACAGGGUUGCGCUAUGUUGCCCAGGCUGGUCUUGAACUCCUGGGCUCAAGGGAUCCUCCUGCCUUGGCCUCAAAAGUGCUGGAAUUACAGGCAUGGGCCACUGCACCCAGCCUAUCUUACAUUUUUUUUAAACUCAGAGCAUACCUCAUUUCAAUUUUCCUCCUCUCUUGCUUGGGUUCAUGUAAAAUCUUUCUAACUGGUUUCCAAGUGUCUGCUCUAUUAUGCUCCGUAUAUCCUCCAUACUCUAGUCUGCUCCUACGAACUUCAGCAUCUUCGGCCCCUCUGCCUGGAAUUUACAUCUUUCCAAUCCUGCCUCACAAAUUUUCUAUUAUAUAAGGCUCCGAAAUAUGAACUAGAAGUAAUUUCCGUGAAGCUGAUGACUUUAUCUGGCAUAUGGUAAGCUCUGAAUCAAUGUUUAUUGAAAGAAUGAAAUGUCACCCCUUUGUGAAGCCUUCCAGAGUUGUCCCUGAAGAAUUAAUUUCUCAACUCCAAGGUCCUUUGCUCAUCCUGUCAUCAUUUUUGUCUAGUAGUCAGUUGAAAACCAAUAAUUGAAAAGCUUGGCCGGACACGGUGGCUCAUGCCUGUAAUCCCAGCACUCUGGGAGGCCGAGGCAGGCGGAUCACAAGGUCAGGAAAUCAAGACCAUCCUGGCUAACACGGUGAAACCCCGUCUCUACUAAAAAUGCAAAAAAUUAGCCAGGCAUGGUGGUGGGCACCUGUAGUCCCAGCUACUCAGGAGGUGAGGCAAGAGAAUGGGGUGAACCCAGGAGGCGGAGUUUGCAGUGAGCCGAGAUCGCGCCACUGCAUUCCAGCCUGGAUGACACAGCGAGACUCUGUCUCUAAAAAAAAAAAAAAAAAAAAGGCUCCUCAAGUGCAGGGAUUGUGUUCUAUUCAUGCCCGACUCUUAAUUAACAGAUGGCGGCUCUCUAUGUACACUUGUCAAAUUAAGUAGAAAACAUCAAAACCCAGGCACCCUGAGGUUAAGAUGCCCUUUAGUGGUGGGAGUUAGUGCAUGGAAGGAGCCCAGGAAGCAUGCAGCUAACAGCCUGCUAAUUAGUAGUAUCAAGCUACCAAAUGGGCUCAUGGGUAGCUUUCCUUAAAAAUUGUAAAAAAAUGGGCCGGGCAUGGUGGCUCACGCCUGUAAUCCCAGCACUUUGGGAGGCCAAGGCGGGUGGAUCACGAGGUCCAGAGUUUGAGACCAGCCUGACCAACAUGGUGAAACCGUGUCUCUACUAAAAAUACAAAAAUUAGCCAGGCAUGCUGGCGCACACCUGUAAUCCCAGCUACUCAGGAAGCUGACGCAAGAGAAUCGCUUGAACCCAGAGGCAGAGGUUGCAAUGAGCUGAGAUUGCACCAUUGCACUCCGGCCUGAGUGACAGAGCGGGACUUCAUCUCAAAAAAAAAAAUUGUACAAAAUUUCCUUUAUUAAAAAUUGUAGCUCCCUCUCUCUCUCCCUCUCCCCCUCCCCCUCCCUCUCCACGGUCUCCCUCUGAUGCCACCAAAGUUAUGAAGGCCGAGGCUGGACUGUACUGCCGCCAUCUCGGCUCACUGCAACCUCCCUGCCUGAUUCUCCUGCCUCAGCCUGCAGAGUGCCUGGGAUUGCAGGCGCGUGCCGCCACGCCUGACUGGUUUUUGCAUUUUUUGGUGGAGACAGGGUUUCGCCGUGUUGACCGGGCUGGUCUCCAGCUCCUGACCGCGAGUGAUCUGCCUGCCUCGGCCCCCCGAGAUGCCGGGAUUGCAGACGGAGUCUCGCUCACUCAGUGCUCAAUGUUGCCCAGGCUGGAGUGCAGUGACGUGAUCUCGGCUCGCUACAACCUCCACCUCCCAGCCGCCUGCCUUGGCCUCCCAAAGUGCCGAGAUUGCAACCUCUGCCCGGCCGCCACCCCGUCUGGGAAGUGAGGAGCGUCUCUGCCUGGCCGCCCAUCGUCUGGGAUGUGAGGAGCCCCUCUGCCCGGCUGCCCAGUCUGGGAAGUGAGGAGCGCCUCUUCCCGGCCGCCAUCCCGUCUAGGAAGUGAGGAGCGUCUCUGCCUGGCUGCCCAUUGUCUGAGAUGUGGGGAUUGCCUCUGCCCCACUGCCCCGUCUGGGAUGUGAGGAGCGCCUCUGCCCGGCCGCGACCCUGUCUAGGAACUGAGGAGUGUCUCUGCCCGAUCGCCACCCAGUCUGCGAGGUGAGGAGCGUCUCUGCCCGGCCGCCCCGUCUGAGAAGUGAGGAGCCCCUCCGCCCGGCAGCCACCCCGUCUGGGAAGUGAGGAGCUCCUCCGCCCGGCAGCCGCCCCGUCUGGGAAGUGAGGAGCCCCUCCGCCCGGCAGCCGCCCCGUCCGGGAAGUGAGGAGCGUCUCCGCCCGGCAGCCACCCUGUCCGGGAGGUGGGGGGCAGCCCCCGCCUGGCCAGCCGCCCCGUCCGGGAGGGAGGUGGGGGGCGCCUCUGCCCGGCCGCCUCGUCUGGGAAGUGAGGAGCCCCUCUGCCCGGCUGCCACCCCGUCUGGGAGGUGUACCCGACAGCUCAUUGGGAACGGGCCAUGAUGAUGAUGGCGGUUUUGUUGAAUAGAAAAGGGGGAAAUGUGGGGAAAAGAGAGAGAUCAGAUUGUUACUGUGUCUGUGUAGAAAGAAGUAGACAUGGGAGACUCCAUUUUGUUCUGUACUAAGAAAAAUUCUUCUGCCUUGGGAUGCUGUUAAUCUAUAACCUUACCCCCAACCCCGUGCUCUCUGAAACAUGUGCUGUAUCCACUCAGGGUUAAAUGGAUUAAGGGCGGUGCAAGAUGUGCUUUGUUAAACAGAUGCUUGAAGGCAGCAUGGUCAUUAAGAGUCAUCACCACUCCCUAAUUUCAAGUACCCAGGGACACAAACACGGUGGAAGGCCGCAGGGUCCUCUGCCUAGGAAAACCAGAGAUGCUUGUUCACAUGUUUAUCUGCUGACCUUCCCUCCACUAUUGUCCUAUGACCCUGCCAAAUCCCCCUCUCCGAGAAACACCCAAGAAUGAUCAAUAAAUACUAAAAGAACAAAAAAAAAAAAACAAACACAAAACAAAAAAACCCAAAACAACAACAACAACAACAAAAAUUGUAGCCCAGGUGCGGUAGUUCAUGCCUGUAAUCCCAGCACUUUGGGAGGCCAAGGUAGGUGAAUCACUUGAGAUCAGGAGUUCGAAACCAGCCUAGCCAACAUGUGGCCAACAUAGCGAAACCUGGUCUCUACUAAAAAUACAAAAAGCCAGGUGUGUUGGUGCUCACCUGUAGUCCCAGCUACUCAGGAGGUUGAGGCACGAGAAUCACUUGAAACCAGGAGGCUGAGGUUGCAGUGAGCUGAGAUCAUGCCACCGCACUCAAGCCUGGGUGACAGAGCUAGACUGUCUCAAAAAACAAACAGACAAACAAAAACUAUAGGCUGGACACGGUAGCUCAUGCCUGUAAUCCCAACGGGCAGAUUGCUUGAGCUCAGGAGUUUGAGACCAGCCUGGGCAACAUGGCAAAACCUCUUCUCUACUAAAAAUAUAAAAAAUUAGCCAGGCAGGAUUGUGUGUGUCUGUGGUCCCAGCUACCAGGGAGGCUGAGAUAGGACGAUUACUUGAGCCCAGGAGGCAGAGGUUGCAGUGAGCUGAGAUCUUACCACUGCAUUCCAGCAAGACUCAGUCUCAAAAAAAAAAAAGAAAAAAAAAAAAAGAAAAAUUGUAAAAAGCAAUUUCUUGUAAAAAACAAAAACUGUACAGAGGCUACAAACAAUUGCCCCAUUUAUGUUGCCUACCCAGUCCUCAAAGAUGGCCAUUGCUCUUUGACACCUAUAUUGAUCAAGAUGUUUUCUCUGUUUAGACUUCAUAUAUAUGUGAACAUAAUUUCUGCCAUAUUUGGAGUAAUUUUGAACACACUGUUCUCCUACUCUUUUUUAAUUCCUCAAAUUGUAUUUUGGUUAUCUUUUUUUUUCCUUUUGAGAUGGAGUUUCACUCUUGUUGCCCAGGCUGGAGUGCAAUGGUGCCAUCUCAGCUCACAACAACCUCCGCCUCCCGGGUUUGAGCGAUUCUCCUGCCUCAGCCUCCCGAGUAGCUGGGAUUACAGCUAUGCACCACCACGCCUGGCUAAUUUUGUAUUUUUAAUAGAAGCAGGGUUUCUCCAUGUUGGUCAGGCGGGUCUCGAACUCUCGAACUCAAGUGAUCCACCCGCCUCGGCCUCCCAAAGUGCUGGGAUUGCAGGCGUGAGUCACCGUGCCUGGCCUUGUGGAUAUCUUUCUAUGUCAGUACAUAGAACUUGAUAUUAAGUGCUAUCUAUAUACUGAUGACUCUCAGUGUAUUUACAUUUUCAGCUCAGACUUCUCUUCUGAACUCUAGACUUAUAAAUAUCUACUUGACAUUGACAUAACCACCCUGAUGUCUCACAGAUUCCUUUUUUUUUUUUUUUUGAGAUGGAGUUUUGCUCUUGUUGCCUAGGCUGGAGUGCAAUGGCGUGAGCUCAGCUCACCACAACCUCCGCCUCCUGGGUUCAAGCUCAAGCAAUUCUCCUGCCUCAGCCUCCCAAGUAGCUGGGAUUACAGGCAUGUGCCACCACACCCAGCUAAUUUUGUAUUUUUUUUUUUUUUUUUAGUAGAGACGGGGUUUCUCCGU